CUCAAGGCUGGACUGGGGCCCGUUACAUCUCCGUGCCGCAUAAAAAUAAAGAAUGGAAUUCUACGAUACGUCACCAAUCGUUCGAAUUCCGGUUUGCAAACCCCAGCCUUCAGGAAGGGGCGAAUCGACCGCCUCCCUACGCGGAGAAAGUCGGUUCGGCCCAAUGACCCGCGGGUGCGUAAAUAUUCCGCACUAUCCCCCAAUAGUAAUAGUAGAAAGCCACCCACAUCAGAGAAUGGCUGAAGACUUCAUAGAAUUACUUUUGGCCCGGCUGUUUUUUUCCAAAUCCGCGUUACAGUGGUAGAAAGUGGGCCGAUCACGGAAUAACUCCUGCGGCGCUGUUUUCUCUAUCCUAUCGAUCUCAUUCGGCGUCUGGCUCUUCCGCUAUUCUAAUCUAAC
RNAcentral lists this long non-coding RNA (399 nucleotides) under Androctonus crassicauda. The record is from RNAcentral. Lineage: Eukaryota; Metazoa; Arthropoda; Arachnida; Scorpiones; Buthidae.